Molecule: long non-coding RNA, 237 nt
Filed under: Carica papaya (papaya)
Lineage: Eukaryota; Viridiplantae; Streptophyta; Magnoliopsida; Brassicales; Caricaceae
Description: long non-coding RNA (CPAP_LNC011470)
Source: RNAcentral
UCUGAAAUUUUAAUGACAAACAAAAUAGAUUGCAACCUCACAAAUCACUCCCUCACGUGUUUACUCUCGUAGUAUGGGCACUCGUGUUUCACUCAAUUUUGGCUUUUACCCUCUUUUGAGCUCACACUCUCUUGCUUUUUACCACUCAAGCAUUCUUUUAUAACUUUAUAUAAAAGGACCAAUUCAAACAACAAUUAAUUAUCACUAUAUACUCAAUUUUAAUUAGAGAUAACAAAA